RNAcentral lists this unclassified non-coding RNA (817 nucleotides) under Bombus terrestris (buff-tailed bumblebee). Its description in RNAcentral is "misc RNA ENSBTSG00005029129.1". The record is from RNAcentral. Lineage: Eukaryota; Metazoa; Arthropoda; Insecta; Hymenoptera; Apidae.
UUUUUAACGAGACAAUGCUUCUAUUCACACAGCCGCCACUACAAAAAAAAGGUGGUUCCAUGAUUUUGGCCAGCAGUGGAUUUUGAUCUGAACUCGAUCGAGAACCCUAUCGUUUCAUUUUGAAAUGCGAAUACAUUUUCGAAUAGGAUUUUGGGUUAUGGCGAUGAAACUUGAAACUUAUAUGCAAUGUUUAUUGAUUAGUCGCAGGAUUUAUACGUUAUAUGUAAUAGACUGGGUUUUCUUUGGAAAUGCCUAUAGACAGUGCGGUUUCGAGCACGCUUAUACAUAUGUAUAUGUCGGACUGUGAUUAGUGUCUUUACAGUUAACAUUACAGUUACGUUACGGUUACGUUACAGUGUCAUUACGAGAACAAAAGCAAUGAAUUUGAAAUAAGAGCGAUGGAAAGCAAAGCUAAAAACAUUCUGUCUGCCGAAAUUGAUAUAAAUAUAUCUACAUUGUGCUACAGUAAAAAAGUUAGUCUCUGUAUAAGGGUCUAUUUUUGCCAAUGUUAGCUGCAGAGACCAUAAGUGUUCAUCGACGACGAAUAUUCUAACUUCUAUGACUUCUUGAAAUUUUGUGUGAAGUGGAAUAAAAAGAUGAUAAUUUUACAGAGAGAUAAAUAGGAAAGGUAUAACAAGAGUUUAGAGGAUUGUAAUAUUCACCAAGAGUUCCAGUUUCCAUUUUCAUGUAGAAAAUAUUAUGCAGCUAAGAUACGAAUUGUAUCACUUUCAUUUCUCUAUUUUCUCGAAAUUGUAAAAUUAAAAUUGAUCGGAGAAUAUAAAUUAUUAGGACAUGCUCUGUAAAAAAAAAAAAACAA